RNAcentral lists this ribosomal RNA (453 nucleotides) under uncultured Rhodocyclaceae bacterium. Its description in RNAcentral is "bacterial SSU rRNA". It matches the Rfam family "Bacterial small subunit ribosomal RNA", at positions 929 to 1382 of the family's 1533-position model. The record is from RNAcentral. Lineage: Bacteria; Pseudomonadati; Pseudomonadota; Betaproteobacteria; Rhodocyclales; Rhodocyclaceae.
GCGGUGGAUGAUGUGGAUUAAUUCGAUGCAACGCGAAAACCUUACUACCCUUGACAUGUCCGGAAUCCCGAAGAGAUUUGGGAGUGCUCGCAAGAGAGCCGGAACACAGGUGCUGCAUGGCUGUCGUCAGCUCGUGUCGUGAGAUGUUGGGUUAAGUCCCGCAACGAGCGCAACCCUUGUCAUUAGUUGCCAUCAUUUGGUUGGGCACUCUAAUGAGACUGCCGGUGACAAACCGGAGGAAGGGUGGGGAUGACGUCAAGUCCUCAUGGCCCUUAUGGGUAGGGCUUCACACGUCAUACAAUGGUCGGUACAGAGGGUUGCCAACCCGCGAGGGGGAGCUAAUCCCACAAAGCCGAUCGUAGUCCGGAUCGCAGUCUGCAACUCGACUGCGUGAAGUCGGAAUCGCUAGUAAUCGUGGAUCAGCAUGUCACGGUGAAUACGUUCCCGGGUCUU